RNAcentral lists this ribosomal RNA (567 nucleotides) under uncultured archaeon. Its description in RNAcentral is "bacterial SSU rRNA". It matches the Rfam family "Archaeal small subunit ribosomal RNA", at positions 326 to 897 of the family's 1478-position model. The record is from RNAcentral.
CGGGGUGCACCAGGCGCGAAAACUUUACAAUGCUGGCAACAGCGAUAAGGGGACCUCGAGUGCCAGGUUACAAAUCUGGCUGUCGUGAUGCCUAAAAAGCAUUGCAUAGCAAGGGCCGGGCAAGACCGGUGCCAGCCGCCGCGGUAACACCGGCGGCUCGAGUGGUAACCGUUAUUAUUGGGUCUAAAGGGUCUGUAGCCGGCCGGAUAAGUCUCUUGGGAAAUCCAGCAGCUCAACUGUUGGGCUUUCAGGAGAUACUGUCUGGCUCGAGGCCGGGAGAGGUGAGAGGUACUUCAGGGGUAGGGGUGAAAUCUUGUAAUCCUUGAAGGACCACCAGUGGCGAAGGCGUCUCACCAGAACGGACCUGACGGCAAGGGACGAAAGCUAGGGGCACGAACCGGAUUAGAUACCCGGGUAGUCCUAGCCGUAAACGAUACUCGCUAGGUGUCGGCCACGGUGCGACCGUUGUCGGUGCCGUAGGGAAGCCGUGAAGCGAGCCACCUGGGAAGUACGGCCGCAAGGCUGAAACUUAAAGGAAUUGGCGGGGGAGCACAAGGGCGAUUCGCG